GCAGCGCGCGGAGCGGUGCCGGCGGGACAGCGAGGGCGGGCGGGCGCCACUCACCUGCGGGGACGCGCGCGGGCGGCGGAGCGGGGCGCUGCGGUGCUCCCGCCCCCGGCCUGGAGUUUGAAAGGAGGGCGCCUGGAAUGCGCGGAAUGACGGCUGAUGCUGUGAAAACAAAAACGACCUCAGCACCUGCCCUCAAAGAGCCUGCCGUCGCUGGGAAGACUCGAUGUAUAGAAGAGCAUUGCCACACAGUGCGAGUCUGGGUUUUCAACAGACAUGCCAGGUCUUAACUACCCAGAAGAUAAAUGAUCCAGGCUGGAAUGGUGUGCCAUCAGGACUUCAGCCUCCUGGUCCACACCCUUACAGGCUUCUGGAGAGCUCUGUGCCUUCAGGAAUCCCACGUUCCCAAGUUGUUGAGGUCCUUCUGGGUAAAGGAAAAUUCUUAGACAUAGAGAUUCUGAAGGGUUAAAGACUGACAGUGAUCUCACACACAUGCCCUGCCCUUUCCAGGGGUGUUUACAUUUCUUAAGGGCGAGGACUCUCAUUGAUUGGCCCUCAGGAAUGUAUCUGUUGGUGGAAGUAUUUCGUCUGUCUAGAUCGAGCUGUAAGAGAUGCAUAUGGCUCCACUCAAAUUACACCAUAGGAUCCACAACUCAUCUGACUUCCCAGUGGUCCAGACCACUCUGCCUCGUCCUGCUAAUGGACCCUCACCCAAGCUUGAUGAUGACUGGUACAGAGAGGAGGGCAGGGGUGGUCAGAGCCGGUUUUAAUCUGGGGAGGGUAUUUGUGUUGUCUGUACUCCAAAAUCACACUAAAAAAUCAUAUUAAUUAUUUUUAUUAUAUGUUGUUUGGUAUUAUUUUGACUCCUUUAAUAAAUUUUGUUUUUCCAACCCACAUGGUCAUAGUUAAACAAAUUAUCUGUAUAAUACUGUAUUAAACAAAUUCAACCACAUCUUGUGCUAGAAUCCUUUACAGCUAUUAAUAACAAGAUGUUUCUUAAUAAACCAGACAAAUGUUAAUGAUAUAAUAAGUGGAAAAGCAGAUUCUAGAAACAGUAUAUAUAGUAUGAUCCUGUUUUUGAAAAAUAUUUUGGAAUGAUUAUCUCUGACAGGUGGAAGAUUAAGGGGAUUUCUUUAUUUUUCAUUUUUAUUCUUAUUUUUCUGUAAGAAACUUGUGUUUCUUUUAUAAUCAGAGGAGAAGCAUGUGACUAGAACCUUUCACUAAUUUCUCCACAUUUUUUUUAAAAAAACAUGCACAACUGGAUUUAAUGGCCCAAUAAGAAGUUGACAAGGGCAGAGUCAAGGAAAGAUUGUUUCCUAGCCUUUAGGGAAAAGGCAAAUACAGUCACGCGUCGCUUACGGGAUAUGUUCUGAGAAAUGCAUUUUUAGGCAAUUGCAUUGUUAGGCAAUUUUGUACUUGUGUAAACAUCAUAGACUGUACUUAUACAAACCUAGAUGGUACAGCUGAUCUUAUGGGACCACCGUCAUAUGUCCGGUCUGUCAUUGACCAAAGCAUUGCUAUACGACGCAUACCUGUAUACUGCUUUCAAGACGUCCCUGAAGCACGUACCUGCCCCAUCUUCGACAGUAUUACAUAGCUGAUUCCUACUGUGGUUGUGGUCAACUGUGACUCAGGUUUCUUCUCUUUUUUAACCUCCCCAUACUAUAUUUCCAUUUGCUUUUCCUGAAGAACACUCUUUGCUCCAUACCAACUGAACUGCAUCUUGUGUUUUAAAGGACAAAAUAGACCUUUAUCAAACUUG
Molecule: long non-coding RNA, 1759 nt
Organism: Equus caballus (horse)
Lineage: Eukaryota; Metazoa; Chordata; Mammalia; Perissodactyla; Equidae
Source: RefSeq, a predicted model, not a curated record